GUGCUUGCUUCAGCAGCACAUACACUAAAAUUGGAACAAUACAGAGGUUGGCAUGACCCCUGAGCAAGAAUGCACACAAAGCCAUGAAGCAUUCCAUAUGAAG
Molecule: small nuclear RNA, 103 nt
Organism: Cricetulus griseus (Chinese hamster)
Lineage: Eukaryota; Metazoa; Chordata; Mammalia; Rodentia; Cricetidae
Source: Ensembl